AGCGAACGCUGGCGGCAGGCUUAACACAUGCAAGUCGAGCGGGCACUUUCGGGUGUCAGCGGCGGACGGGUGAGUAACGCGUGGGAACGUGCCCUCUGGUUCGGAAUAACUCAGGGAAACUUGAGCUAAUACCGGAUACGCCCUUUUGGGGAAAGGCUUGCUGCCGGAGGAUCGGCCCGCGUCUGAUUAGCUAGUUGGUGAGGUAACGGCUCACCAAGGCGACGAUCAGUAGCUGGUCUGAGAGGAUGAUCAGCCACACUGGGACUGAGACACGGCCCAGACUCCUACGGGAGGCAGCAGUGGGGAAUAUUGGACAAUGGGCGCAAGCCUGAUCCAGCCGUGCCGCGUGAGUGAUGAAGGCCUUAGGGUUGUAAAGCUCUUUUAUCCGGGACGAUAAUGACGGUACCGGAGGAAUAAGCCCCGGCUAACUUCGUG
This 435-nucleotide ribosomal RNA is filed under the name uncultured bacterium. RNAcentral's name for it is "partial 16S ribosomal RNA". It matches the Rfam family "Bacterial small subunit ribosomal RNA", at positions 29 to 507 of the family's 1533-position model. The record is from RNAcentral.